GAUUAACGCUGGCGGCGUGCAUAACACAAGCAAGUCGAACGAUGAAACUUAAAUGAUUUCUUCGGAAUGAACUUAAGUGGAUUAGUGGCGGACGGGUGGGUAACGCGUGAGUAACCUGCCUUACACAAGGGGAUAGCCGUUGGAAACGACGAAUAAUACCCUAUGAAACUAUCACUUCGCAUGAAGCGAUAGUCAAAGUGUUAGCGGUGUAAGAUGGACUUGCGUCUGAUUAGCUAGUUGGUGAGAAAAAAGCCCACCAAGGCAACGAUCAGUAGCCGGCUUGAGAGAGUGUACGGCCACAUUGGGACUGAGACACGGCCCAGACUCCGACGGGAGGCAGCAGUGGGGAAUUUUGCACAAUGGGGGAAACCCUGAUGCAGCGACGCCGCGUGAUUUAGAAGGCCUUCGGGUUGUAAAAAUCUUUUGUAUAGGAAGAAAAUGACAGUACUAUACGAAUAAGGUCCGGCUAAUUACGUG
Molecule: ribosomal RNA, 477 nt
Filed under: uncultured bacterium
Lineage: Bacteria
Description: partial 16S ribosomal RNA
Rfam family: Bacterial small subunit ribosomal RNA
Source: RNAcentral